RNAcentral lists this ribosomal RNA (609 nucleotides) under Odontella aurita. Its description in RNAcentral is "partial Bacterial small subunit ribosomal RNA". It matches the Rfam family "Bacterial small subunit ribosomal RNA", at positions 11 to 617 of the family's 1533-position model. The record is from RNAcentral. Lineage: Eukaryota; Bacillariophyta; Thalassiosirophyceae; Eupodiscales; Odontellaceae.
GUUUGAUCAUGGCUCAGAUUGAACGCUGGCGGCAGGCCUAACACAUGCAAGUCGAACGGUAACAUUUCUAGCUUGCUAGAAGAUGACGAGUGGCGGACGGGUGAGUAAUGCUUGGGAACUUGCCUUUGCGAGGGGGAUAACAGUUGGAAACGACUGCUAAUACCGCAUAAUGUCUUCGGACCAAACGGGGCUUCGGCUCCGGCGCAAAGAGAGGCCCAAGUGAGAUUAGCUAGUUGGUGAGGUAAAGGCUCACCAAGGCAACGAUCUCUAGCUGUUCUGAGAGGAAGAUCAGCCACACUGGGACUGAGACACGGCCCAGACUCCUACGGGAGGCAGCAGUGGGGAAUAUUGCACAAUGGGGGAAACCCUGAUGCAGCCAUGCCGCGUGUGUGAAGAAGGCCUUCGGGUUGUAAAGCACUUUCAGCGAGGAGGAAAGGGAUGUAGUUAAUAACUGCAUUCUGUGACGUUACUCGCAGAAGAAGCACCGGCUAACUUCGUGCCAGCAGCCGCGGUAAUACGAGGGGUGCAAGCGUUAAUCGGAAUUACUGGGCGUAAAGCGCACGCAGGCGGUUUGUUAAGCUAGAUGUGAAAGCCCCGGGCUCAACCUGG